UCUUUGCUAGUAUAUCGGUUAGUACACGCGCCUGUCACGCGUCCCUCCAUGUGUCUCCGCGCGAAAGCUGGGUUCGACUCCCAGGCAGAGAG
Blastosporella zonata is the source of this 92-nucleotide non-coding RNA. The record is from the annotation of a GenBank genome assembly. NCBI's taxonomy places the organism in Eukaryota, Fungi, Basidiomycota, Agaricomycetes, Agaricales, Lyophyllaceae.